Molecule: transfer RNA, 69 nt
Filed under: Microhyla beilunensis
Lineage: Eukaryota; Metazoa; Chordata; Amphibia; Anura; Microhylidae
Description: tRNA-Asp
Rfam family: tRNA
About the family: Transfer RNA (tRNA) molecules are approximately 80 nucleotides in length. Their secondary structure includes four short double-helical elements and three loops (D, anti-codon, and T loops). Further hydrogen bonds mediate the characteristic L-shaped molecular structure. tRNAs have two regions of fundamental functional importance: the anti-codon, which is responsible for specific mRNA codon recognition, and the 3' end, to which the tRNAs corresponding amino acid is attached (by aminoacyl-tRNA synthetases). tRNAs cope with the degeneracy of the genetic code in two manners: having more than one tRNA (with a specific anti-codon) for a particular amino acid; and 'wobble' base-pairing, i.e. permitting non-standard base-pairing at the 3rd anti-codon position.
Source: RNAcentral
GAGAUGUUAAUUAAAUAAUAAUAAUGCCUUGUCAAGACAUAAUUAUAGGUUAAACCCCUGUACAUCUCC